CUUGAUGGGGUUUUUCAGUUUCUUGCCUCAGAGGAUAGUUUGAGGUAGCACACAGCAGCACUGUCUCCUGUUUCUGUUUCCAAUUUUUAAGGUCAUGAUUAGAUCUUCAUUUGAAUCCUCCCAUAAGAAAUAAGAGAAAUGUGACCUGCUGACUGAUUCUGCAACCUCUGUUGUGGGUCAUGCUGGACCUUCCUGAUGACUUCUCAUGGUCUCUCUUGUCUUCCUCAGCCUGGAGCCAGCCUCAAACAUACAACAAAAUCCAUUCAGGAACUAAUAUCAAAGGAGCAAGGUUUUUCAGCUAUGGUAGAUGCAAACCUUCCACCCACGCCCUGCAGAUGAUGGGCAUCUAGAAUAAGGAAAGAGAGGAAAUAUGCUGCAUUACCUGUAGGAGGUGUGCCUGCUUUUGCUAACAGAUGUUCCUGCUUCGUGGAUGAAUGCCUAACUGGUCAGAUCCUUUCUUGAUGAACGGUGGUAUCUCUGGGACUUGUCUGCAUAGCAGAACCAGGAUGUCUCUGCCCCCUCCAUUCCCUGAUUUCAGCUGAUGAAGUCUCCUCAUAAAUCCCAGAUGCGAUAGCAGCAGCUUGACCCAUCACUUCAUUACAUCAACUUGCAAAGCUCUGUAUUGUGCUGAGGAGGAGCCUAUCUGGUCAGAAUGGAUCCAAUCCAGGAAGAAAUAAAGGAAUCUGGUUAUUUCUGGGAGCAGUGUGACGCAGAGCACUUUAAAAAGAUACGUCGACUUCCAGAAAGAUUUUGUCAAACGACACAACUGAUGAAGACUUCAAACUCACCAGACAGUACUGUCCCAAGGAACAGAAGACAAGCCAGUUGCUGUCCCACUACCUGAAGGAGAUUAAUACCAAUGGGACUAAUUCCCCUAUACAAGGAGAACCUGCAUGAUG
RNAcentral lists this long non-coding RNA (899 nucleotides) under Phasianus colchicus (ring-necked pheasant). RNAcentral's name for it is "lncRNA (ENSPCLG00000006725.1)". Lineage: Eukaryota; Metazoa; Chordata; Aves; Galliformes; Phasianidae. The record is from RNAcentral.